RNAcentral lists this long non-coding RNA (559 nucleotides) under Taeniopygia guttata (zebra finch). RNAcentral describes it as "lncRNA (ENSTGUG00000021802.1)". Lineage: Eukaryota; Metazoa; Chordata; Aves; Passeriformes; Estrildidae. The record is from RNAcentral.
AAAGACUGUAAGUGUACAAAAAGAAAAGAAAGAGAAACUAGAGAAUAGAGAGGAAAUACGGACUGCUGACUUCACUUAGGAAGCUUGUUGUCUGCUGACUCACUGACUCACUAUUGUUCACUUUGAGAAAAAGUGGUUCCAUAUGAGAGGAAGACUUCACAAUUAGCUGAAUUGUUCUGAGGAAAGCAAAGGAAAAAGACACUGAAGUUUUGAGUAUAAAAGACAUUCCUGACUGCUGGGAAUACUUCAGUGCUGGUGCUACUGGCAAGAACUUGAGGCAAAGAAGGCACGUCAGUUUUCUUGUGGUUAUAGCUUCCUACUAGAGAGCCUGAAAAACUGUCUGGUGGCAGUCCUUCAAAGCCUGCUAGCUUCCUAAGGCUGUGAGCAGACAUAAUUUGUUGACAGCUCCAAAGGGCCACCCUUCUCUGCUCUCUGCAGGCCAAACUAAUUUUUGAAUAAUUUCUUGUUACACGGCUAGGAGUAUGACACCACUUCACUGUUUGAACAAUCAUUCUAAAGACUGAGAAGACGCUAUGGCUAGCUAUCUCAAUGUGCAAGC